This 332-nucleotide ribosomal RNA is filed under the name uncultured bacterium. RNAcentral describes it as "bacterial SSU rRNA". It matches the Rfam family "Bacterial small subunit ribosomal RNA", at positions 466 to 793 of the family's 1533-position model. The record is from RNAcentral.
UAGCUGAAGGUACUAUACGAAUAAGCACCGGCUAACUCCGUGCCAGCAGCCGCGGUAAUACGGAGGGUGCAAGCGUUAUCCGGAUUUAUUGGGUUUUAAAGGGUCCGUAGGCGGACUUAUAAGUCAGUGGUGAAAGCCUGUCGCUUAACGAUAGAACUGCCAUUGAUACUGUAAGUCUUGAGUAUAUUUGAGGUAGCUGGAAUAAGUAGUGUAGCGGUGAAAAUGCAUAGAUAUUACUUAGAACACCAAUUGCGAAGGCAGGUUACCAAGAUAUAACUGACGCUGAGGGACGAAAGCGUGGGGGAGCGAACAGGAUUAGAUACCCCUGGUAG